UACGUAGGGUGCGAGCGUUGCCCGGAUUUAUUGGGCGUAAAGGGCGCGUAGGCGGCUCGGCACGUCCGUUGUGAAAUCGCCCGGCUCAACUGGGCGGGGUCAGCGGAUACGGUCGAGCUUGAGCAAGCUAGGGGGCAAUGGAAUUCCCGGUGUAGUGGUGGAAUGCGUAGAUAUCGGGAGGAACACCAGUGGCGAAGGCGGUUGCCUGGGGUUUUGCUGACGCUGAUGCGCGAAAGCGUGGGGAGCGAUCCGG
This 253-nucleotide ribosomal RNA is filed under the name uncultured bacterium. Its description in RNAcentral is "partial 16S ribosomal RNA". It matches the Rfam family "Bacterial small subunit ribosomal RNA", at positions 524 to 776 of the family's 1533-position model. The record is from RNAcentral.